CUACGUGCCAGCAGCCGCGGUAAUACGGAAGGUCCAGGCGUUAUCCGGAUUUAUUGGGUUUAAAGGGAGCGUAGGCUGGAGAUUAAGUGUGUUGUGAAAUGUAGACGCUCAACGUCUGAAUUGCAGCGCAUACUGGUUUCCUUGAGUACGCACAACGUUGGCGGAAUUCGUCGUGUAGCGGUGAAAUGCUUAGAUAUGACGAAGAACUCCGAUUGCGAAGGCAGCUGACGGGAGCGCAACUGACGCUUAAGCUCGAAGGUGCGGGUAUCAAACAGGAUUAGAUACCCUGGUAGUCCACACAGUAAACGAUGUAUACUCGCGGUUUGCGAUAGACAGUAAGCCGCCAAGCGAAAGCAUUAAGUAUACCACCUGGGGAGUACGCCGGCAACGGUGAAACUCAAAGGAAUUGACGGGGGCCCGCACAAGCGGAGGAACAUGUGGUUUAAUUCGAUGAUACGCGAGGAACCUUACCCGGGCUUGAAC
RNAcentral lists this ribosomal RNA (483 nucleotides) under uncultured bacterium. RNAcentral's name for it is "bacterial SSU rRNA". It matches the Rfam family "Bacterial small subunit ribosomal RNA", at positions 501 to 986 of the family's 1533-position model. The record is from RNAcentral.